This 1134-nucleotide long non-coding RNA is filed under the name Olea europaea subsp. europaea. The record is from RNAcentral. Lineage: Eukaryota; Viridiplantae; Streptophyta; Magnoliopsida; Lamiales; Oleaceae.
GGAUAGAUGUACGAACAAUAAAUUUGAAUAGUUUGGUAGGUCAAAUGUGGUAUCUAAGUGUUUCAGACUUGUAAACUAUACAUAACACAAUCUAAAGAAGUGCUAAAUUUUGAAUAAACUUCAUUUACGAUAACUAUACUCUCAUCCUCCCACCAUCUCUCACUCUAUAUGUCUUCGUAGAACGUCCAUACUCUUACCUUUUGUCUGGUAUGUGACACUUGUUGCAGCCUACAAAAUUGUACUCCUGACUUCCAAAGUAUGCCCUAAUCAGCCAAAUAUCCAAGUAAGCACUAACGAUUAAAAUUUUAUUGCCUCCUUUAUUUAACAUAAUCACUUCUUUUAUUUUGCUUGUAUCCUAUAUAAAGUGGUAAUAGUCAUGAGCUUGAUUUGAAGUAAAUGAAAUAGAGAGAUUUCCCAAUUUUGUAUCGAUUGUUCUAUAUUCAAUCUUGAAUUAACGAACUUAUGGUUAUAAAAUUCCCAGGUAUUCGUAAAAUCAAAGGGUCUUUGAACUUGUUUUUCAAUUCUUUAUGCUUCCACCUACACCUCUUUUGCAUUUCAAUUUUUAGGCAGAUGAUACCCUAUACCAGUAAUGUCAUGGCAGAUAAAAGCAUGGACGUAUCCAAGUUUGCUAAUCACUUAUUUCCUUUUUCUUUCCUGAGCCAGAUCCUCCAGUCAAAUCAAAAGAGUGAGGCAUCAAGAUUGGCUGGAUUUCUUGACGCCAGAAAUGCAGUAAAUAAGCAGACUCCCAAAAUCCAGGCUUCUCAGUAAUGCUGUUCCUCUUGGUCCUGUCCUUGCUUCGAGUGUAGGUUGAGGAGGAACAUGAAAUGUCUCUUUCAAGGACACUGAUUUCUAAAUAGUUUUCUCUUUAUAUCUUCAUUAGGAGUGAUCCCUAUGUCAUCUAGCAGUUCACAAUAUUUCUUAUAUAAUGGACUUCUUGGAGUUGGAUUUCUCCAGGUUACAGUACUCAAAGCUUCGUGUAAAAUAUUUACAAAACCAGAGGACUUCUUGGAGUUAUAUCUUGGCAAUUCAACGCGUAAUUCCAUUACAACACAUCUACCAAAUGUUUACCAACAGCAUUUACCUAUAUCAAAGUCAAUGUAUCAUUAUCAAAUGUGAUGCAAUAUUGAAGAGAUA